Molecule: long non-coding RNA, 320 nt
Filed under: Gopherus agassizii (Agassiz's desert tortoise)
Lineage: Eukaryota; Metazoa; Chordata; Testudines; Testudinidae
Description: lncRNA (ENSGAGG00000016684.1)
Source: RNAcentral
AUUUCUUUAACCACUUCACUUAUAUCUUUGACAUUAAAAGUCACUCUAUUUAUGCAAAUAGUUCUCACUCAAAUUAAUCCAGAAGAAAAAGAGGAGGAAGAAGAAACUGAGAAUAAGGGAGAGAGAGAUCACAACUUAUCGACUAAAGAGAUAUUGAAUCUAGCAGAAGAAACAGAAAGGGCUCAUUCUACUCUUGAUGAUCUCUUAGAAAAAAUUCUCCAUCCAAUUCCGGAGGAUUAUGAAGUCCAAGGAGAACCUCGGGAAUGCCUUGUCAGGGCAACAAACCUUAAAGAUCAAGAAACUGAUGAAAUGAAGAGUGG